RNAcentral lists this ribosomal RNA (407 nucleotides) under uncultured bacterium. RNAcentral's name for it is "bacterial SSU rRNA". It matches the Rfam family "Bacterial small subunit ribosomal RNA", at positions 355 to 776 of the family's 1533-position model. The record is from RNAcentral.
UCGAGAAUCUUCGGCAAUGGGCGCAAGCCUGACCGAGCGACGCCGCGUGGAGGAAGAAGGCCUUCGGGUUGUAAACUCCUGUUGGGGGGGACCAAUUCAAUGAGGGAACCCCUGAGGAAGCACGGGCUAAGUUCGUGCCAGCAGCCGCGGUAAGACGAACCGUGCGAACGUUAUUCGGAAUCAUUGGGCUUAAAGAGCACGUAGGCGGCGGCGUAAGUGGGGGGUGAAAGGCUAUCGGCUCAACCGUGGCAUUGCCUCCCAAACUGCGUCGCUCGAGGAAGGUAGGGGCAGGUGGAACUUCCAGUGGAGCGGUGAAAUGUGUUGAGAUUGGAAGGAACGCCAGUGGCGAAAGCGACCUGCUGGAUCUUUACUGACGCUGAGGUGCGAAAGCUAGGGGAGCAAACGGG